RNAcentral lists this ribosomal RNA (476 nucleotides) under uncultured bacterium. RNAcentral's name for it is "bacterial SSU rRNA". It matches the Rfam family "Bacterial small subunit ribosomal RNA", at positions 775 to 1250 of the family's 1533-position model. The record is from RNAcentral.
AGUAAAUAGAUACCCGGGUAGUCCACGCCGUAAACGUUGGCGCUAGGUGUGGGGGACAUUCCACGUCCUCCGUGCCGCAGCUAAACGCAUUAAGCGCCCCGCCUGGGGAGUACGGCCGCAAGGCUAAAACUCAAAGGAAUUGACGGGGCCCGCACAAGCGGCGGAGCAUGCGGAUUAAUUCGAUGCAACGCGAAGGACCUUACCUGGGUUUGACAUAUAGGGAAAUCCUCCAGAGAUGGGGGUCCGUAAGGGUCCUAUACAGGUGGUGCAUGGCUGUCGUCAGCUCGUGUCGUGAGAUGUUGGGUUAAGUCCCGCAACGAGCGCAACCCUCGUCCUAUGUUGCCAGCACGUUAUGGUGGGGGACUCAUAGGAGACUGCCGGGGUCAACUCGGAGGAAGGUGGGGAUGACGUCAAGUCAUCAUGCCCCUUAUGUCCAGGGCUUCACGCAUGCUACAAUGGCCGGUACAAAGGGCUGC